This 450-nucleotide ribosomal RNA is filed under the name uncultured bacterium. RNAcentral's name for it is "partial 16S ribosomal RNA". It matches the Rfam family "Bacterial small subunit ribosomal RNA", at positions 354 to 796 of the family's 1533-position model. The record is from RNAcentral.
GUGGGGAAUAUUCCGCAAUGGACGAAAGUCUGACGGAGCAACGCCGCGUGAGUGAUGAAGGUUUUCGGACUGUAAAGCUCUGUUGUUUGGGACGAAAGUGCCUGUUGCGAACAGUUACGGGUAUUGACGGUACUAAACGAGGAAGCCACGGCUAACUACGUGCCAGCAGCCGCGGUAAUACGUAGGUGGCAAGCGUCGUCCGGAAUUAUUGGGCGUAAAGAGCAUGUAGGCGGGAAUCUAAGUCUGUUGUUAAAAUGCGGGGCUCAACCCCGUAUUGCGAUGGAAACUGGGUGUCUUGAGUGCAGGAGAGGAAAGGGGAAUUCCCAGUGUAGCGGUGAAAUGCGUAGAUAUUGGGAGGAACACCAGUGGCGAAGGCGCCUUUCUGGACUGUGUCUGACGCUGAGAUGCGAAAGCCAGGGUAGCGAACGGGAUUAGAAACCCGGGUAGUCC